RNAcentral lists this ribosomal RNA (450 nucleotides) under uncultured bacterium. Its description in RNAcentral is "partial 16S ribosomal RNA". It matches the Rfam family "Bacterial small subunit ribosomal RNA", at positions 354 to 796 of the family's 1533-position model. The record is from RNAcentral.
GUGGGGAAUUUUGGACAAUGGGCGCAAGCCUGAUCCAGCAAUGCCGCGUGCAGGAAGAAGGCCUUCGGGUUGUAAACUGCUUUUGUAUGGAACGAAACGGUCCUGGCUAAUAUCCGGGGCUAAUGACGGUACCGUAAGAAUAAGCACCGGCUAACUACGUGCCAGCAGCCGCGGUAAUACGUAGGGUGCGAGCGUUAAUCGGAAUUACUGGGCGUAACGCGUGCGCAGGCGGUGCUGUAAGACAGGCGUGAAAUCCCCGGGCUCAACCUGGGAAUUGCACUUGUGACUGCAGUGCUGGAGUGCGGCAGAGGGGGAUGGAAUUCCGCGUGUAGCAGUGAAAUGCGUAGAUAUGCGGAGGAACACCGAUGGCGAAGGCAAUCCCCUGGGCCUGCACUGACGCUCAUGCACGAAAGCGUGGGGAGCAAACAGGAUUAGAAACCCUGGUAGUCC